RNAcentral lists this ribosomal RNA (301 nucleotides) under uncultured bacterium. RNAcentral's name for it is "partial 16S ribosomal RNA". It matches the Rfam family "Bacterial small subunit ribosomal RNA", at positions 509 to 807 of the family's 1533-position model. The record is from RNAcentral.
CAGCCGCCGCGGUAAUACGGAGGGUGCAAGCGUUAAUCGGAAUUACUGGGCGUAAAGCGUGCGCAGGCGGUUCUAUAAGACAGAUGUGAAAUCCCCGGGCUCAACCUGGGAACUGCAUUUGUGACUGUAGAGCUGGAGUACGGCAGAGGGGGAUGGAAUUCCGCGUGUAGCAGUGAAAUGCGUAGAUAUGCGGAGGAACACCGAUGGCGAAGGCAAUCCCCUGGGCCUGUACUGACGCUCAUGCACGAAAGCGUGGGGAGCAAACAGGAUUAGAUACCCCGGUAGUCCCUGUCUCUUAUAC